RNAcentral lists this ribosomal RNA (505 nucleotides) under uncultured bacterium. RNAcentral describes it as "partial 16S ribosomal RNA". It matches the Rfam family "Bacterial small subunit ribosomal RNA", at positions 28 to 507 of the family's 1533-position model. The record is from RNAcentral.
GACGAACGCUGGCGGCGCGCCUAAUACAUGCAAGUAGAACGCACAGUUUAUACCGUAGCUUGCUACACCAUAGACUGUGAGUUGCGAACGGGUGAGUAACGCGUAGGUAACCUGCCUGGUAGCGGGGGAUAACUAUUGGAAACGAUAGCUAAUACCGCAUAAUAUUGAUUAUUGCAUGAUAAUUGAUUGAAAGAUGCUAUUGCAUCACUACCAGAUGGACCUGCGUUGUAUUAGCUAGUAGGUGAGGUAACGGCUCACCUAGGCGACGAUACAUAGCCGACCUGAGAGGGUGAUCGGCCACACUGGGACUGAGACACGGCCCAGACUCCUACGGGAGGCAUCAGUAGGGAAUCUUCGGCAAUGGACGAAAGUCUGACCGAGCAACGCCGCGUGAGUGAAGAAGGUUUUCGGAUCGUAAAGCUCUGUUGUAAGAGAAGAACGGGUGUGAGAGUGGAAAGUUCACACUGUGACGGUAUCUUACCAGAAAGGGACGGCUAACUACGUG